RNAcentral lists this ribosomal RNA (155 nucleotides) under Petrorhagia prolifera. RNAcentral's name for it is "5.8S ribosomal RNA". It matches the Rfam family "5.8S ribosomal RNA". Rfam says of the family: 5.8S ribosomal RNA (5.8S rRNA) is a component of the large subunit of the eukaryotic ribosome. It is transcribed by RNA polymerase I as part of the 45S precursor that also contains 18S and 28S rRNA. Functionally, it is thought that 5.8S rRNA may be involved in ribosome translocation. Lineage: Eukaryota; Viridiplantae; Streptophyta; Magnoliopsida; Caryophyllales; Caryophyllaceae. The record is from RNAcentral.
AAACGACUCUCGGCAACGGAUAUCUCGGCUCUCGCAUCGAUGAAGAACGUAGCGAAAUGCGAUACUUGGUGUGAAUUGCAGAAUCCCGUGAACCAUCGAGUUUUUGAACGCAAGUUGCGCCCGAAGCCUCGGCUAARGGCACGUCUGCCUGGGCG